AUAAACAUAUUGGUUACAUAAGAUAACUCGGUUAGAGUUGGAGGUUAAUUCAGAGUUGGUGGUAAGUUUAUUCACAACAGAGAUUAGUUAUUUUCAUCUGUUGUCGUUCCUAAUACAUUUGUGCUAUGACUUUUUAUCGAUGGACUGGAUAGUCGAUAUUUUUCAUAUGUAUAAAGAGAUUAACCGUCUAGCCGGCGGAUUAACUAACUAUGUAUUUUCUUUAUUGCUUAGUUUUUAUUCUUUUAUUGUAUGUCCGGAUAUCAUGC
RNAcentral lists this small RNA (266 nucleotides) under Arabidopsis thaliana (thale cress). Its description in RNAcentral is "ATSL174060". The record is from RNAcentral. Lineage: Eukaryota; Viridiplantae; Streptophyta; Magnoliopsida; Brassicales; Brassicaceae.